This is a long non-coding RNA of Betta splendens (Siamese fighting fish), 5846 nucleotides long. RefSeq lists it as uncharacterized. Lineage: Eukaryota; Metazoa; Chordata; Actinopteri; Anabantiformes; Osphronemidae. The transcript is spliced from 2 exons. The record is from RefSeq and is a predicted model, not a curated record.
UCCUACGAGUGGACAAGACAGAGAGAUGGUAGAGCAAUGAGAAGAGACGACGACAACAACAACAUUAGCGUGAAAACGGUCUGUAAACAAAUUCCAUUCUUUAUGAGGAGAGGGGCCUUUCGUUAUGUAACUGUGUUCUUUUAAGCGAGGCUUUCAUUCAGUCUGUGCCCAAUUUCCGCCUGUGCGGUUUCACUGCACUGAGUUAACUGCUUGUAUGCAGGAACACAGUGUUCCCAGCGUUCUCACAAAAGGAACAGGUUGAGCUUGAACAAUUACUCGAUCGAUGGGUGCAUGAGUUUAUGAGACACUAAAAAUGUUUGAUGAACACAACCACAUCUGCUGGCGUGGGAACAAUGUGUGCGGUAUGAAUAUUCAUUAAAACAGGCAUGAACACAUUAACUCUAGGCUGCAUUCUUCAUUUUCCUUUUCCCACACAUUACUUACUGUGAGGUCACUUUACAGGAAAGAAAAUGCACAUGAGUGGAACUGUUCUACUGGUAACGUCUGUCAUUUUCCUGCGGUCACAAAGAUGGUCAUCUGAUGCCACCUUGACGUCCAGGAAACUUAUCUAACUAGCGGAACAGGAAGCCGCCAUGGGACUUCCUGUUGCAUCCUUUCUCUUUAGCAAUUGACUUUUCAGAUGACUCAACCCAUAGUCAGGAUGUGAAAUCACAAACGCAUCACCCCAUGUUACGAGCAACCGCUUGCCACAGUCGAAUGGAAAUACUUCUCCGAUAGAGAACAGCUUCCCUGCAGACUCCCUGCUAAUCAGCUUAAUCCAAUUUGCAGCCAAAAGAUUAACUAUAUGAGCUUUUAACAGAGAAAUGUCAAGAAGCAUUCAGCAAACUCUCUCAUGCUUGUGAUGUGAUUAACUGUACACUCGUGUAUUCACUGUACUGCACACAGGGCGGUGUGCAACUUAAAGCAGAUGUUUCACAUGCAGUGGAGUGAAAUUCAUUAUAAUGUUCAUUCCCUCUUGAAGACUUUAAUGCCAUGAAAGCCCUGGCCAGUGCUCCUUCAGAAAGAAAUUUAAAAUAAAAAAAACUGUGAUGCCAAAAUAAGAGCACCAAUGUCUCAGCAUCAGUGAACAGACUUAACUUUAACUUGAUUUUAAAUGGUCUUUGUUUGCAUUAGUUGUAAUACUAGCUCUCAGGAUACAGAAUAACCUGUGUCUGAAUUAAUGUGUGGGUAAAAGCAGGAUACCUGCAGUCUGUUACGUGUGACUACUCCAGUUUGUUAUCAGUAACAGUGCGUCUACUUACAAACUUGAACUAGAGUAACCUCCAGGCUUCCUCAGCCACGCCACUCUAACAAUCCUUGCAAGGCCUUCAGAAAUGAAUGCUGACUAUUGGCCGAGCGGCGGUGGUGUUAUAUGUUCGACCAAUGAGAUGCGAGCAAGGCUCCAGUCUCCCCUCCCCCCCACUUCCCAAACAGAGAAAUGACGGCGCAUUUGGGUGUUUCCCCUGCUGCCUCCCUGCUCUCAUCCCCUGCAUCUUUACAGCAGCGGAGUGGAAUGAGACUGAGCAUUCCAGUCAUGCCUUCGACCACGUCUUCCUCCCCCCACCCACAGACCCUGUAGGGCAACAAAUGCACGAGACGUCCCCCACUUUGUAUGAGCAUCCUUUAGAGUGACCCACUUUGCAAGGUUUCAAUUCAAGCAUUGGGAUUUUGUAGCUGGCAGAAAAUUACACCAAGCCUUCAGCAUGAGACCAAGUCUAGUGAGUGGGCUGGAACGGACGAGUCAAAGCAGCAGGUGUUCUCGCUACAUACACACCGGAGGGAACACAAACUCCCAGUUGUGCACCUUCUCACAAGAGGCACGUGUUUUAUGAGCAACUAGGGCGUUCAUAGUUCUAAUUGAACAGCCAAGGGAGUAAAUAAACCACUGUAAAACUCAUUUCUCGUGCUCCCUGUGGCCCUCAUUAUACAGCAGCCUGGAACCCCUGAGACCAUUACCUUGCUUGUCAGGGUCCCCCUCGCUCCUUGUCACCUUUCUAACAUUUCUUCCACUAGUCCAUUCUGUCCUGGUCACUUUGUGUGACACAGCAUUCUCUGAGGUACUAAAGGGGCAGUAGCUAUAAAAACACCAUAGGUGCUGACAGGCCACCGCUUCCAUAUCCAGAGGCUCACACGAACACCCUGCACCGCACUCCUGUCACACAGGCACGUGAUUUAUACCCAUCAGAUAUGAUAAGUGUACCAGGAGAACCUGCAGGUUUUGACAACAAAGGACCUGUGAACAAAUGUCAGAAUAGAAUCAGGUGAAUCUAUGUAGGUUGCUUAGACAUUAAGGGGAUAGGACUUUAAAAAAGGUAAAGGACAGCAAGCUUUCAGGGAAACGUCCUCCCACUCAGAAUUGAUGCUACCCAGUGACAACGAUGCCAAGCGGCAGUGACUGUGGCCCAGGUGUGGGCAGCAGCCUAAUUGCAGUGGUCAGUGGUAAAAGUAAACCCCCAAAAUAGUUGAUGGAAUUCCUCGUGUCAAAUGUCAAACAGCUAAAACGCCCUCUCUAUCCAGGAGUACAGAGAUUCCAGUUUGUCAUGUACAGGAAUCCCUUCUGAAGAUGUGUGCUUCCUCAGUAGCAGGCAGGAGUUAUAUUUGUCAGCACCUUCCCAAAAGUCACGCUGUGGGAAAUUUAUAAGACCACCAGCAGGAGUUCUGCUUGUUUGUUAGGUUUAGCCCUCAGUAGUUCAGCCUGGACUACUUCAGCUAAAGACUCCCAUUAAAGGAUUAUUUUAUGGCCAGUAGCAUUGCAGCACGUCAUGAUCAGGGAGGAUGGAAUAGGCGUAAAUGGACACAGUAUAUGUGAAAAGUGAGGAAGUGGUACAGUGUAAUUGCAUCAGCAUGACCCAAAGUAACUCCUCCUGGGAGAUGGCCCUGUUCCAGACCCGCAAACACUGACACAUGCUGCGUGUACAUCAUAUAGCUGGACAACUUUCACCCGUAGCGCUGGCCCAGAGAAUGACAGCCGCCACACAUGAAGCAGCAAUUCAAAAGCACUUGCUACUGUUUGUAGCUGAACAUCGCUUCACCAAAAGAAAGGACCCUGCUCUAAAACGACGAUCUGCAGGUUCCAUCUGGGAGUUCGACCUACCAGGGCAGCAUGCGUCCAAAACGUGUCCAAGGGCUCCGGGAGACAAGAAAGCCGACAGUGGGAUCCGUUACAGCAUCCCAUGCUCGACCCACAAACAAGAUGAUUGAGGCGUAGAAGGGGUCCAACUGUAAAAAUAAGACACACAGAUUAGAGGAAAUUAAAUUCCAUGGGUCAAUAUUGCUAUUCAAUUUUACUGUAUGUUAAUUUGACUAAAUGUGAUGUAAACAUGACACCAAGCUAGAAAUUCUAGUAAAUCCCUUAAAUUGUAAGAAUGUGGUUAAAAUGAAAUCGUCAGCAGGAACCAUGACAGACAGUGAAAGUGUAACUUGGCAGCUCAGCAUGUCUGGUGUUGGGAAUGACUAUGAAAACCAGGCAUGUUAUCUGCUCAGCUCUCGACUACACAGUCCACAUCAUGCUGUUCACCAAUUAGACUCUUCAUCAACCAUCUCAGUGGUGAAACAAAGUGAAACUCCGGGAAGGCACUGACUUACACGCUAUUUUAGCCUCACCCUUCAGAUUACUGUCAGAACCAAUUAAAGCAAGCCCCCCUCCCCAUCAUAUUCCCAAGCUGCUAUCCCCCUCCCAAAACAUUUUUCAUAAUAAGCCCAUGUAAGCCCUUUUGAUGCAUGACUUUAGUAAUGGAAACAACAAAAAGGACAUUCUUCCACCACCUCAUUUUUGCAGAACAAUCAGCGUCAUUGUUGGCACCGCGUCCUUUGUGUGUCCUUAUCAGAGAGGUGCUUUGAGGAUCAUGUACAAGCCCAGCAUGUAAAACCCACCUCACAUGUUACGACAAGACAGUGGCGUGCAGGAAUGAUGCACAGUAUAUUCCCUUUCCCAGGAAGAUGGCCUUUUGAUGACAGCAGUGCUGCUAUACUUAAGCGGGUCUUAUUGAAGUGACACCAAACGCCCCGACGUGUUGGAUUUGUAGGUCGGCCGACCUCUACCAACUCACCUGAGCUACAUCCAAUAAAUAGAUCUGCAGAAAAAAGCCCAGAGCGGAUCCAGUCAUCUGAUAGGGAGCUCCGCCGAUGGCAUAGCUUAUCUUGUUGCAGACGGACAACCUGUUGUCAUUCUCAGGCUGGAGGAAAACAAGGGGAAAACAACAGGAAAAUUAAGGUUAAUCGAGGGUGGAGUCAUACACAAAACAGUUUAAUGUAAAAAUUACUGCAUGCAUUUUCUGCUUUCAAAAACACUAUACUUUUGCAGCCAGUUGACUGAAGUAUUUUUGGAACCCACAAAGCUUUUUAGGGCCUGGCUCAUAAUUAUAGGGGAGGGCAAUUUUGCAGAAUCAACAACAUGCAUUUAAACCUGGGUGAGGACAACACAGCAGCACACGCUUCCUUGGCCUAAAUGAAAGCAACUUUCUCCUUCCAUGGCCAAAAGUUUUAAUCCUGAACUUGUCAUUGCUCCAGUCUCGCCAGCUUCUCACUAGUCCGAUUAAGACAUUUUUAUCACAUUCUUUUCAUGGCCUACAAGGAAUGUAGUCUAGAUUCCUAAUCACCAGAGAAUCUUGGAGAAACUCCUGAGAAUGCUACUGGAGUAAAUGAGGUGGCAAAGCAGAGCAGACUCUGCUUUCUUCAGUCUAGAUGUGAUCGUUUCCCAAGUCUGACUUUUAACAACUCUUAAAAUAGCAACACAAUAUGGCAACACCAUGGUGUCACACAAUCCAAAAGCCAGGGGUGACGGCAUCAGGCCAGCAGCUUGAAUGGGCUUAACACACAAAGAGAUGUCAGAAUGACCAAUGCUGUGACCACAGAGGGUUGAGAACGCCCCCGUACCCUGACCAAUCGCAGGUCUGGCUGUGCUGACACCUAAUCGCCCAUCUUUUUCCUCAUUCAACAGUAGUGAUGAAAAUGUUGGAGAUUUACAAGCUCCACACAAAAAGCUCAAAGCUGAAGGCACUCCCUAAUAAGGACAGCUCCAUCACAGUGAUACAACUAUACUAGUGCCUGAGCCGUUGUUGCAGACAUAUCAUCACACAAGACAAAAUUCUCCAGAACCCGUUCUGUCUGCAUGAGUCAUUCUGUGUCUCCUUUCUAUACGAUUAUUUCGAGAACUCAGACGUGUCACAAUCACAGCACGCAUCAGAGCAACGGCAUAUUAAGGUCCCGUGAUCGCAUGGAUUACCAGUAUUAGAGAAGUAAAAUGAGUCAAAUCCUUUGGCAAAUACUACAAAGUUGUGCCUCCCAUUCAGUACAUUAACCAAAGAAUUGUAACAACAUUUUAUCGCCUUCUGUUAUCAUUGCUGCUGCUAAUGAUGUGUUAUUACUGUAAACUGAUAACACACUCACAGUAGAUCAGGGGCAUGUACUUAAAUGACUUUUGCUUUUGGAAUAUUUGAAAAGAAGGUUAGAUGGAAACUGGGACUGACUGGGAUUCUAUGCUAAUCAUUUCAUGGCUGCUCAUUCCGCGUGUGACACGUCGCCUAGCCCGGAGCCUCCGGCUACGUUCCAAACUAUCGGAAAUAUGGACACCACUCUCAGAGUGUGGUGGUAAUGGGUGGUUUUUGUCGUGUAACAACCACGCAUAUUUCCCAGAAGAAAGAUCACAUGAAAAUGCAAUCACUGUAAACCGAUAGGCGUAGGAUAUGACACAUCCCAUCUGCUGAUGGUCCAUGAACGCAGCACGGGAACACACCUAUCUGCGGAGUGAAGCUCACACAGCGAUACGAAGGAUGUGACCCACAAAGCAUUUACUGUCGCUUCAUAAAACCUUGUAAUUAUAAAUAAAGCAUUUACAGCAACCCUCA